Molecule: long non-coding RNA, 381 nt
Filed under: Nicotiana benthamiana
Lineage: Eukaryota; Viridiplantae; Streptophyta; Magnoliopsida; Solanales; Solanaceae
Description: long non-coding RNA (NBEN_LNC032794)
Source: RNAcentral
GUCUGGCAUGUACUCUCUAGUCACCACUCCUCCGAGUACGACAAAGUGAAAGGAGACAAGACUCACCUCCCCCUACUUUGUCAAUCACAGCCGUCUCGUCUAUUCUAUUCUCGAAAGCGUGUAGACAGAAGGCCCUUUUUUCGGACUGUCUUGUUUUCAGGCCUCCACGGCCGUCCGGGGUUCUCCAUUCUCAGAAAGCUUCAACUUUCCCACGUGUGAUUGUCAAUCACAGCCGUCUCGUCUAUUCUACUCUCGAAAGCGUGUAGACAGAAGGCCCUUUUUUCGGACUCUCUUGUUUUCACGCCUCCACGGCCGUCCGGGGUUCUCCAUUCUCAGAAAGCUUCAACGUUCCCACGUGUGCGCAAGCUUGCGAAUAAUUUC